CGAAGCGAAGCAGCGAUGUGAAGCAAAUCGCACCAAAGCCGGUCCCAGUUCGGAUAAGAGGCUGAAACUCGCCUCUUUGAAGUCGGAAUCGCUAGUAAUCGCAGAUCAGCAUGUUGCGGUGAAUACGUUUCCUGGUCUUGUACACACCGCCCGUCAAACCAUGAGAGUCGCCAACACCCGAAGUCCGCUUUGCGGCCUAAGGUGGGGGAGAUGAUUGGGGUUAAGUCGUAACAAGGUAUC
This 240-nucleotide ribosomal RNA is filed under the name uncultured bacterium. RNAcentral describes it as "partial 16S ribosomal RNA". It matches the Rfam family "Bacterial small subunit ribosomal RNA", at positions 1245 to 1500 of the family's 1533-position model. The record is from RNAcentral.